Long non-coding RNA from Equus caballus (horse), 3305 nucleotides. RefSeq lists it as uncharacterized. The record is from RefSeq and is a predicted model, not a curated record. NCBI's taxonomy places the organism in Eukaryota, Metazoa, Chordata, Mammalia, Perissodactyla, Equidae.
UAUCUUAAAAAAAAGAAAAGUGAUUACUGAAGUUAUUACAUAGGUGAAAAAUUUUACUGGGAGAUUAAUGUCUGCACGUUCUUCCCAUUUUACCCAAACCAAGCCACACAGUUCGCACGGGCCGCCCCCACGCAGCUCGUGGAGCCCAAGCCAGCUGCCGCUCAGCCUCCCAGAGUCGCCGCCCACGCUGCACGCGCCCUGUAAAAACCCUGACACGCAGCAGCGAACUCGGAGCUGCCCAGCGGCCUCUGCGUCCGCACGGCCAGCACGCCCUGGCCUCGACCCUCAGAGCCGCGGGGGCCUGGACUCUUCACGACAGUUUUCCGGCACAUGGUCGUAAAGUGUCUGAGGGCAGGGCUCCUUGGCGUGGGUCAGGCGCAGACUUGCGGGUGUGUGGGGGGCUGGGAGUAAGAGCCCAGUUUCAUCCGAGAGGGGCGUUCGGGCCCGGACUGGAGCGGGCCCGCUAGAGUACGCGGCUGCUGCCCAGCUCCUGCUGUUUGCGAUGGUGCAGGCCCAGCAUGGCCUGUCGUGUGAGGCUGAAAGUCUGGGUUGAAAUCUGUUGAUUUAUAAAUGUUAGCAGCUAAAACAGAACAAAACAGACGCACUGUCCGAUCAAACAGCGCCGUGCACUGAGCACGGGUGGAGGCUGCCUGAGCUCCUGAGGCCUCCGCUCGGCGUGGCCGCGGACCCGGAGGGGAUGAGAGGUCUUCAGGCCCGGGAGGAUUCGGGAGGUGGUUCCUCCCACUGGCUGCAGGAACCCGAUCUUGUCUUUAUUUAAAAGUUUGAUAUUUUGUUUAUCAUGGGUUUCUUGGCAUUAAUUUUGAUUCAAAAAGAUGUUGCAUUAAAGUAUUAUUUAUCUGAUUACUAGGUUUUUUGGCCCCUCCUUUAAGUUUUGCUCAGCAGGCAAGGGUCUCACUCAGCUCAGCCUCGUCCCGGCCCCGCUGCCCCCACUGGGAGGUAGUUUCCAGGGAGGGGACAAGAGACUCGGUUCGGGUGCAUCUUAUAAUUGAUGGUGUCUGACAAUCACUCAACCAGAUGAGAGUCAUGACUUAGGAGUAUGAAAAUCAUCUGUUGACAUUUUCUGCCCUCAAGCAACUCCAAGGUGGUGGUAGGAGCUGGUGGCAAUGAAAGCCUCAGGAGCUGAAACUCAAGAGAGAAGAACUCUACCCUCUGUUCUGGUGAGCUGUGGUUCCAAGGAGGGUCAACCCUGUUGAUUUUUUUCUCUCUGUGUUCUGCUGCUUUGCCCCAGAUGUGGGUGCAGUUACGGAAGUGGACAGCACAGCACAGUAACAAGCCCUAGCCUUCUAACCAGAGGACUGAAAAGAAGAGUGCCAGGAAUCUAAAAUACUGGGAAGACUGUAGAGAGAACGAUGCUCUGGAAAGCAGCCAGUCUGGAAAGCGACAGCAUAAGGGUGUUUAUGAACUCCUGGGCUCACCUGAGCUGCACACACAUGAAUCUGAUCCUAUUCAGUAUAUCAAAGACUUUGAGACUAAACUAACAGACCACUACGAGACUGACCACUGGACGGCACACACUUGGUAUAAAUCUGAAUAGCACUGCAAAGGCUUUGACAACUGAAAUGAUGAUGGAACCACAGCCCAAAUAAAGUGGGCUGGAACUUCGGACCUGAACCUAACUAGGUAAACUGCCUUCUAAAACAAAAAUAUCAACAUUCUUUGGGAUUUAAAUAAGACAUAGAGUCUUAUAACACAACAUUUAAUCCAAAAUAUGUAAUACAAAAUUACUCAGUAUACAAAAAUAUCAGGAAAACUUCAACUUGCAUAGGAAAAGAUAAUCAACAGAUACCAAUACCUGAUGAUACAGUUGUUAGAAUUAUAUGACAAAGAAUUUAAAGUAGGUAUUAUAAAAAUGCUACACCAAAAAUGGUGAAUACUCUUGAAACCAGUGGGAAAAUAGAAAGUCUUAGCAAAGAAAAAUAAAAAGACAUAAAGAAGAACCAAAUGGAAAUUUUAGAACUGAAAAACAUAAACAAAAAUAAAAGCUCACCAGAUUUGGCUCAGUUGCAGGGUGGAAAUGAUAGAGGAAAGAAUCAGUGAACUUGAAGAUGGAUGCUUAACUUGCAUAGCUGAGUCCCACCCCAGCAAUUGCCCUUGGCUGAAAAGAGCUAAGUCAUCCAAGAUUACACCCCCUCUGCAGGUCCAUGGUGGAGGUAUAAAGGCCCAGCCCUCUUGCCUGCAUUCAGGAUAACUCUGCAGAGUCAUCCCAGUUCUACAGAUUUCCAUAGGAUCCUUUGAAUCCUUUGUGGCAAUCACACUACAGUUCCACUUCUCCCUCUGUCCAGUCUUGAUUCCCUCAGUCUCUCACAUUGUUGCCACAAGCACUCGCCAAUAAACAAUGCAACACAGAUCUCCAUUUCAGUCAGUGUCCAACCUAAUACACUUAACAAAUAUCAAUAGGGUGAACUAGAAACAUUCAUGUGUGUGUGUCUGUAAAUUUCUAGUAGUAUGUUAAAGACUGUAAUCGGAUAUGUGCAUCAAGUACUUUGAUAUGACUAUUUUUCAUCUUCAUUCUGUGUGAAACAGUGUAGAUCAACUGUAUAGACAGGGAAAUUGAAAAAACGAUUAAUUGCAACAAAUAACACAGUGCCUAAUGCAUAUUAGAUACCCAAAAUAUAUUGAAUGAAUAUGAUAACUUGUAAUGGUGAUGAGGACAGAGGGAUGGUGAGAAGCAAGGUUUCUGGAGCACUGGGUCUCACUUGCUGUGUGAUCUUAAGCAAGUUACUGAACCUCUUUAAAUCUCAGGGGGUUUCUGUCUUUCUGUUUUCAGGUAGAUGCAAGGCAUCUGGCAUAGUUACGACACGUGGUACAGGCUCAGUCAAUGUUAGGCGCUUAUUGUAGAGUUUGCUCCUCAUGAUAGGUGAGUGAGGUUGGAACCAUCACUACCACCUGGCCUAGCCUAAGGCCCAGAAAGGUUUCAGGGUUCUCAGCCCUUUUUAUGCUCUGGACCCCCUUUGGCAGACUUUUGAAGUCUGGAAAAAGUCACCAGCUUUGCUGUUGUUUGUUGUCUACAUUCAUUCAUAUUUGAAGAAAAUGCUAAAUUUCAGCUACGUUAGUGAAAACACACAUGUAAAUUUACUUCCCAUUCAAAUUCCAAAUCACUCAAAUUCUGUCUGUGGAUUCCAGGUUAAGAAUACUUGGGUUAAAUGAUUUACCUUGAGUUCACAGAAAGAAAAUACCUACAGGCUUAGACUUAUAAGAGACUAAGAUCAAGCUGAUUUUUUUUUAAUUUUUUUUUUUCCUUUUUCUCCCCAAAGCCCCCCGGUACACAGUUGUAUAUUCUUAGU